RNAcentral lists this unclassified non-coding RNA (309 nucleotides) under plant metagenome. RNAcentral describes it as "partial contains 5.8S ribosomal RNA, internal transcribed spacer 2, and large subunit ribosomal RNA". The stretch from base 1 to 105 matches the Rfam family "5.8S ribosomal RNA", at positions 50 to 154 of the family's 154-position model. The record is from RNAcentral.
GAAAUGCGAUAAGUAGUGUGAAUUGCAGAAUUCAGUGAAUCAUCGAAUCUUUGAACGCACAUUGCGCCCCUUGGUAUUCCAUGGGGCAUGCCUGUUCGAGCGUCAUUUGUACCCUCAAGCUCUGCUUGGUGUUGGGUGUUUGUCCCGUCUCCGCGCGUGGACUCGCCCCAAAGUGAUUGGCAGCCGGCGUACUGGUCCCGGAGCGCAGCACAUGUCGCGCAAACGAGUGCCUUGGUACGGCGGCGUCCAUAAGCCCCUCUCUCACGCUCUUGACCUCGGAUCAGGUAGGGAUUCCCGCUGAACUUGAGC